This is a non-coding RNA of Labrus bergylta (ballan wrasse), 1240 nucleotides long. NCBI's taxonomy places the organism in Eukaryota, Metazoa, Chordata, Actinopteri, Labriformes, Labridae. The record is from RefSeq and is a predicted model, not a curated record.
UCCUCAAGGUAUAGAGAAGAAGCCCUGCAGCCCGUCUAUGCAGAUGGUUGGAUGGAGCGGAGAGGAAAUUAAAAAAAGGACGAUUUUUAUUUUCAUCCACAAAAUGUCAUCAAAAAUAUAAAAGUUGUGAAAGUAUGUAAUAAACCCAAGUAAUUUCAGUAAGGAGACAUAAUUCUCUAUGAAUAUUUAAAGUUGCAUGUCACAUAUGAUACUUAUUUAAACUAUCAUCUCCGUGCUCUUAAAUUACCCUUUUUUAACAGUUGGUAGAUAAAUAAAAUAAACAUUGUUUAAAUAAAAUCCACAUCGUUUGCUUUAAAAGAAAGCUUAUCAACUCUGGUAGUGAAAUAACCCUGGUAUUACUAACGUAUAUUUAACUAAAUAUAAGUUGUCUAAGGAAAAUACUCUUGUGUCUGUACUCAAGCCAAAAUUUUGCCCACAACUUCUGUGUUUCUUUGGCGGCCAAAAUCAUCGUUUUAGACAUCUCACGUGGUCUCUGCUGAGAUUUGGAUAGGUACACGUUCCCCCCCUCUCUUGCAGCCUGCAGACAGACCCCUCUCAAUAGGAGGGAAGAUCAGAUCACAACAAACGGGGUCCCAGAGAGAGCUCUCUUAUGUAAAGACCUGUCCGACAGUUUUGGCGUACCAGCUGUGUUUAAAACAGCAGCAUUAGCUGAAAUGUUAACGUGCUUGUGAAGCGGUCGUCAUAGAGCUGCAUUUCCUGGACGAGACUAAACUCUCCCAAAUCCUGUUGUGCCCUGAGGAUCUCAUGAACACACACCCUCUCCUCCUGUGCUGCUAGCUCCUGUCACGGCUCUGGCUGUGAUCCUGUUUCUCUGUGUAUCCCUUGUGUCCCCUCCCCCUCUGUCUGUCUGUCUGUGUGUGUGUGUGUGUGUGUGUGUGUGUGUGUGUGUGUGUGUGUGUGUGUGUGUGUGUGUGUCUCUGGAGGGCGUGGCUUCAAUCAAACACCUGGUGACCACUCACACCUGCAACUCAUCUGCUUAUCUGCCUCAGACUAAGACCCAGGGUUCAACUCGACUCAUUGCCAGAUUAUUGAGUCUACUGAAGUGAUUUUCACCGGUGUCAUCUCCUCCAGUCUGCUCUCCUCUCAGACAACUCAACCAAUUACCUGUCUGCCUACGGAACCAGCUAACUCCAUAAGACUCCUCCACGCCGUCACUACCAGCCAGCCAGUCAGCCAUUCACUGAUACCUAGCCCUGCAAUAAAACCUCAAACCCUUCAA